CCUACGGGAGGCAGCAGUGGGGAAUAUUGCACAAUGGGGGAAACCCUGAUGCAGCAACGCCGCGUGAGUGAUGACGGUCUUCGGAUUGUAAAGCUCUGUCUUCACGGACGAUAAUGACGGUACCUGAGGAGGAAGCCACGGCUAACUACGUGCCAGCAGCCGCGGUAAU
RNAcentral lists this ribosomal RNA (169 nucleotides) under uncultured Clostridium sp. RNAcentral describes it as "partial 16S ribosomal RNA". It matches the Rfam family "Bacterial small subunit ribosomal RNA", at positions 338 to 524 of the family's 1533-position model. Lineage: Bacteria; Bacillati; Bacillota; Clostridia; Eubacteriales; Clostridiaceae. The record is from RNAcentral.